This 347-nucleotide ribosomal RNA is filed under the name uncultured Mollicutes bacterium. RNAcentral's name for it is "bacterial SSU rRNA". It matches the Rfam family "Bacterial small subunit ribosomal RNA", at positions 28 to 339 of the family's 1533-position model. Lineage: Bacteria; Bacillati; Mycoplasmatota; Mollicutes. The record is from RNAcentral.
GAUGAACGCUGGCGGCAUGCCUAAGACAUGCAAGUCGAACGAAGUGGCCCAAAGAGUAUGGAGUACUUGUACAAAAUAUAAUUUGGAUUUUCCACUUAGUGGCAGACGGGUGAGUAACACGUAAGUAACCUACCUCAAAGACUGGGAUAACGUUUGGAAACGAACGCUAAUACCGGAUAAUCCAUAUUUAGAAAACUAGAUAUGUUAAAAGGAGCGUAUGCUUCACUUUGAGAUGGGCUUGCGGCGUAUUAACUAGUUGGUGGGGUAAUGGCCUACCAAGGUGACGAUGCGUAGCCGGGCUGAGAGGCUAAUCGGCCACAUUGGGACUGAGACACGGCCCAAACUCC